Molecule: ribosomal RNA, 301 nt
Filed under: uncultured bacterium
Lineage: Bacteria
Description: partial 16S ribosomal RNA
Rfam family: Bacterial small subunit ribosomal RNA
Source: RNAcentral
CAGUCGCCGCGGUAAUACGUAGGUGGCAAGCGUUGUCCGGAAUUAUUGGGCGUAAAGGGCUCGCAGGCGGUUUCUUAAGUCUGAUGUGAAAGCCCCCGGCUCAACCGGGGAGGGUCAUUGGAAACUGGGAAACUUGAGUGCAGAAGAGGAGAGUGGAAUUCCACGUGUAGCGGUGAAAUGCGUAGAGAUGUGGAGGAACACCAGUGGCGAAGGCGACUCUUUGGUCUGUAACUGACGCCGAGGAGCGAAAGCGUGGGGAGCGAACAGGAUUAGAUACCCACGUAGUCCCUGUCUCUUAUAA